This 400-nucleotide RNase P RNA is filed under the name Microvirgula aerodenitrificans. Its description in RNAcentral is "Bacterial RNase P class A". It matches the Rfam family "Bacterial RNase P class A". From Rfam's summary of the family: Ribonuclease P (RNase P) is a ubiquitous endoribonuclease, found in archaea, bacteria and eukarya as well as chloroplasts and mitochondria. Its best characterised activity is the generation of mature 5'-ends of tRNAs by cleaving the 5'-leader elements of precursor-tRNAs. Cellular RNase Ps are ribonucleoproteins. Lineage: Bacteria; Pseudomonadati; Pseudomonadota; Betaproteobacteria; Neisseriales; Aquaspirillaceae. The record is from Rfam by way of RNAcentral.
GAAGUCAGCCGGACAGUCGCCGCCCGUUCGCGGGGGAGGAAAGUCCGGGCUCCACAGAGCAGGAUGCCGGCUAACGGCCGGGCGUCGCGAGGCGACGGAAAGUGGAACAGAGAGCAGAACCGCCGAUGGCCGGGCAACCGGCACAGGCAAGGGUGAAAAGGUGGAUUCCUUCGGGAACGGAUCGGGCAACCGGUCCCGGUAAGAGCGCACCGCGGACGUGGCGACACGGACGGCAGGCUAAACCCCAUCCGGAGCAAGACCAAGCAGGGAGCGCCAACGCGGCUCGCGUUGUUCCCGGGUAGGUUGCUGGAGCGUGCGGGUAACCGUACGCCUAGAGGAAUGACUGUCUGGGACGGGCAACCGUCCGACACAGAACCCGGCUUACAGGCUGACUUCGCCA